UUGUUUUGUUUUACGAAUUUUUCACGUUCUUUGGACAUUGUUUGGUUUGGUGGUCCCUCGCCCCGGAGGACGCGGGAACGGUUCACGGUGUGUGUGUGGAUUCGAAAACGGCCGCGAGGCCAAUCUCUAAUGAUCCUUCCGCAGGUUCACCUACGGAAA
RNAcentral lists this unclassified non-coding RNA (159 nucleotides) under uncultured fungus. Its description in RNAcentral is "sequence contains ITS1". The record is from RNAcentral. Lineage: Eukaryota; Fungi.